AUACGUAGGGGGCGAGCGUUGUCCGGAAUGAUUGGGCGUAAAGGGCGCGUAGGCGGCCCGGUAAGUCUGGAGUGAAAGUCCUGUUUUUAAGAUGGGAAUUGCUUUGGAUACUGUCGGGCUUGAGUGCAGGAGAGGUAAGUGGAAUUCCCAGUGUAGCGGUGAAAUGCGUAGAGAUUGGGAGGAACACCAGUGGCGAAGGCGACUUACUGGACUGUAACUGACGCUGAGGCGCGAAAGUGUGGGGAGCAAACAGGAUUAGAUACCCUGGUAGUCCACACUGUAAACGAUGAAUGCUAGGUGUAGGGGGUAUCGACCCCUUCUGUGCCGCAGUCAACACAAUAAGCAUUCCGCCUGGGGAGUACGGCCGCAAGGUUGAAACUUAAAUGAAUUGACGGGG
Molecule: ribosomal RNA, 397 nt
Filed under: uncultured bacterium
Lineage: Bacteria
Description: partial 16S ribosomal RNA
Rfam family: Bacterial small subunit ribosomal RNA
Source: RNAcentral